Mauremys reevesii (Reeves's turtle) is the source of this 263-nucleotide long non-coding RNA. RefSeq lists it as uncharacterized. Lineage: Eukaryota; Metazoa; Chordata; Testudines; Geoemydidae. The record is from RefSeq and is a predicted model, not a curated record. The transcript has 3 exons.
AUUUGGCUGCCUUUGACUGUGCAGUGUGUACUUUCUCAUAACAUCAGGUUGGAUCAGCAAAAGAUGUUUGACACUGUGGUUAAAGAUGAAUAAAGCAAACAACUCCGAUCCUGUGAACACUUAAGCACAUGAGUAACUUUACACAUGUGAGCAGAUGACUCAAUAAUGUCAACUGGAUUACUCAGGUGAGUAAAGGUAUGCAGGAUUGGAGCUAUGAAAGCAUCUCUCUGUGUCUCAGGUAACCAAGGCAUGAGAUGUGUGCA